RNAcentral lists this ribosomal RNA (492 nucleotides) under uncultured bacterium. RNAcentral's name for it is "partial 16S ribosomal RNA". It matches the Rfam family "Bacterial small subunit ribosomal RNA", at positions 30 to 507 of the family's 1533-position model. The record is from RNAcentral.
AUUGAACGCUGGCGGCAUGCUUUACACAUGCAAGUCCAACGGUAACAGGCCUUCGGGUGCUGACGAGUGGCGAACGGGUGAGUAAUGCAUCGGAACGUGCCCAGAGGUGGGGGAUAACGCAGCGAAAGCUGUGCUAAUACCGCAUGUGAUCUGAGGAUGAAAGCGGGGGACCAGGCAGCAAUGUUUGGCCUCGCGCCUUUGGAGCGGCCGAUGUCAGAUUAGGUAGUUGGUGGGGUAAAGGCCUACCAAGCCGACGAUCUGUAGCUGGUCUGAGAGGACGACCAGCCACACUGGGACUGAGACACGGCCCAGACUCCUACGGGAGGCAGCAGUGGGGAAUUUUGGACAAUGGGCGCAAGCCUGAUCCAGCAAUGCCGCGUGCGGGAAGAAGGCCUUCGGGUUGUAAACCGCUUUUGUACGGAACGAAAAGGCUCUGGCUAAUACCUGGGGCUGAUGACGGUACCGUAAGAAUAAGCACCGGCUAACUACGUG